AGCACGGCAGUAGCAAUACUGUGGGUGGCGAGUGGCGGACGGGUGAGGAAUGCGUCGGAAUCUGCCCAGUUGUGGGGGAUAACUAGCCGAAAGGUUAGCUAAUACCGCAUACGACCGAGAGGUGAAAGCGGGGGACCGUAAGGCCUCGCGCGAUUGGAUGAGCCGACGCCGGAUUAGCUUGUUGGUGGGGUAAAGGCCUACCAAGGCGACGAUCCGUAGCUGGUCUGAGAGGAUGAUCAGCCACACUGGAACUGAGACACGGUCCAGACUCCUACGGGAGGCAGCAGUGGGGAAUAUUGGACAAUGGGCGCAAGCCUGAUCCAGCAAUGCCGCGUGUGUGAAGAAGGCCUUCGGGUUGUAAAGCACUUUUAUCAGGAACGAAAAGCGGAGGGUUAAUACCCUUUCGUGCUGACGGUACCUGAGGAAUAAGCACCGGCUAACUUCGUGCCAGCAGCCGCGGUAAUACGAAGGGUGCAAGCGUUAAUCGGAAUUACUGGGCGUAAAGCGUGCGUAGAUGGCUGAUUAAGUCGGAUGUGAAAGCCCCGGGCUCAACCUGGGAACGGCAUCCGAUACUGGUGAGCUAGAGUGCGGUAGAGGAGAGCGGAAUUCCCGGUGUAGCGGUGAAAUGCGUAGAGAUCGGGAGGAACAUYCGUGGCGAAGCGGCUCUCUGGACCAGCACUGACGUUGAGGCACGAAAGCGUGGGGAGCAACAGGAUUAGAUACCCUGGUAGUCCACGCCCUAAACGAUGUCGACUGGAUGUUGGGCACACUUUGGUGCUCAGUAUCGAAGCUACGCGUAA
This 800-nucleotide ribosomal RNA is filed under the name uncultured bacterium. RNAcentral's name for it is "bacterial SSU rRNA". It matches the Rfam family "Bacterial small subunit ribosomal RNA", at positions 66 to 862 of the family's 1533-position model. The record is from RNAcentral.